UGAGGAUUUCAAUGAUAAUCUGGAGUGAAGGGGGUUGCAGUUGCCUUCUCAAUGCACUCGAAAAGAAAAUUUAAAAGAGAGCAAAGGAGAAGAUAAAGAGUCAUCACUGAAAAAGUUAAAUUCUUGAGAAGACCGCCAAUUGAGUGGUCCCAUCAAUCAUGAUCAUUCGCAAUAGCCUUGCUUGUUAGGCUGAUGUCAUCAACCUUAAAUGCUGGAGACACAUGUGAAAGUGUGAGAGCACCAUCCCC
RNAcentral lists this long non-coding RNA (248 nucleotides) under Elaeis guineensis (African oil palm). Its description in RNAcentral is "long non-coding RNA (EGUI_LNC035633)". The record is from RNAcentral. Lineage: Eukaryota; Viridiplantae; Streptophyta; Magnoliopsida; Arecales; Arecaceae.